RNAcentral lists this transfer-messenger RNA (79 nucleotides) under Desulfuromonadales bacterium C00003096. RNAcentral's name for it is "partial transfer-messenger RNA". It matches the Rfam family "transfer-messenger RNA", at positions 1 to 80 of the family's 374-position model. From Rfam's summary of the family: Bacterial tmRNA, also known as 10Sa RNA or SsrA, is named for its dual tRNA and mRNA-like properties. The record is from RNAcentral. Lineage: Bacteria; Pseudomonadati; Thermodesulfobacteriota; Desulfuromonadia; Desulfuromonadales.
GGGGGUGACCUGGUUUCGACGGGGAUUGGAAGCAAAGGUGGCAUGCCGGGGACGCCAGUUGGCCUCGUUAAAAAACUGG